Molecule: ribosomal RNA, 906 nt
Filed under: Micrococcus sp.
Lineage: Bacteria; Bacillati; Actinomycetota; Actinomycetes; Micrococcales; Micrococcaceae
Description: bacterial SSU rRNA
Rfam family: Bacterial small subunit ribosomal RNA
Source: RNAcentral
CGGUUUGUCGCGUCUGUCGUGAAAGUCCGGGGCUUAACCCCGGAUCUGCGGUGGGUACGGGCAGACUAGAGUGCAGUAGGGGAGACUGGAAUUCCUGGUGUAGCGGUGGAAUGCGCAGAUAUCAGGAGGAACACCGAUGGCGAAGGCAGGUCUCUGGGCUGUAACUGACGCUGAGGAGCGAAAGCAUGGGGAGCGAACAGGAUUAGAUACCCUGGUAGUCCAUGCCGUAAACGUUGGGCACUAGGUGUGGGGACCAUUCCACGGUUUCCGCGCCGCAGCUAACGCAUUAAGUGCCCCGCCUGGGGAGUACGGCCGCAAGGCUAAAACUCAAAGGAAUUGACGGGGGCCCGCACAAGCGGCGGAGCAUGCGGAUUAAUUCGAUGCAACGCGAAGAACCUUACCAAGGCUUGACAUGUUCUCGAUCGCCGUAGAGAUACGGUUUCCCCUUUGGGGCGGGUUCACAGGUGGUGCAUGGUUGUCGUCAGCUCGUGUCGUGAGAUGUUGGGUUAAGUCCCGCAACGAGCGCAACCCUCGUUCCAUGUUGCCAGCACGUCGUGGUGGGGACUCAUGGGAGACUGCCGGGGUCAACUCGGAGGAAGGUGAGGACGACGUCAAAUCAUCAUGCCCCUUAUGUCUUGGGCUUCACGCAUGCUACAAUGGCCGGUACAAUGGGUUGCGAUACUGUGAGGUGGAGCUAAUCCCAAAAAGCCGGUCUCAGUUCGGAUUGGGGUCUGCAACUCGACCCCAUGAAGUCGGAGUCGCUAGUAAUCGCAGAUCAGCAACGCUGCGGUGAAUACGUUCCCGGGCCUUGUACACACCGCCCGUCAAGUCACGAAAGUUGGUAACACCCGAAGCCGGUGGCCUAACCCUUGUGGGGGGAGCCGUCGAAGGUGGACCAGCGAUGGA